RNAcentral lists this ribosomal RNA (446 nucleotides) under uncultured bacterium. Its description in RNAcentral is "bacterial SSU rRNA". It matches the Rfam family "Bacterial small subunit ribosomal RNA", at positions 330 to 793 of the family's 1533-position model. The record is from RNAcentral.
CCCAGACUCCUACGGGAGGCAGCAGUGGGGAAUAUUGCACAAUGGGGGAAACCCUGAUGCAGCGACGCCGCGUGAGCGAUGAAGUAUUUCGGUAUGUAAAGCUCUCUCAGCAGGGAAGAAAAUGACGGUACCUGAAGAAGAAGCCCCGGCUAACUACGUGCCAGCAGCCGCGGUAAUACGUAGGGGGCAAGCGUUAUCCGGAUUUACUGGGUGUAAAGGGGGCGCAGACGGCGAUGCAAGCCAGGAGUGAAAGCCCGGGGCCCAACCCCGGGACUGCUUUGGAAACUGUAUGGCUGGAGUGCAGGAGAGGUAAGUGGAAUUCCUAGUGUAGCGGUGAAAUGCGUAGAUAUUAGGAGGAACACCAGUGGCGAAGGCGGCUUACUGGACUGUAACUGACGUUGAGGCUCGAAAGCGUGGGGAGCAAACAGGAUUAGAUACCCGCGUAC